GUGGGGUAAUGGCUCACCAAGGCGACGACGGGUAGCCGGCCUGAGAGGGUGACCGGCCACACUGGGACUGAGACACGGCCCAGACUCCUACGGGAGGCAGCAGUGGGGAAUAUUGCACAAUGGGCGGAAGCCUGAUGCAGCGACGCCGCGUGAGGGAUGACGGCCUUCGGGUUGUAAACCUCUUUCAGUAGGGAAGAAGCGAGAGUGACGGUACCUGCAGAAGAAGCGCCGGCUAACUACGUGCCAGCAGCCGCGGUAAUACGUAGGGCGCAAGCGUUGUCCGGAAUUAUUGGGCGUAAAGAGCUCGUAGGCGGUUUGUCGCGUCUGCUGUGAAAGCCCGGGGCUCAACCCCGGGUCUGCAGUGGGUACGGGCAGACUAGAGUGCAGUAGGGGAGACUGGAAUUCCUGGUGUAGCGGUGAAAUGCGCAGAUAUCAGGAGGAACACCGAUGGCGAAGGCAGGUCUCUGGGCUGUUACUGACGCUGAGGAGCGAAAGCAUGGGGAGCGAACAGGAUUAGAUACCCUGGUAGUCCAUGCCGUAAACGUUGGGCACUAGGUGUGGGGGACAUUCCACGUUUUCCGCGCCGUAGCUAACGCAUUAAGUG
Molecule: ribosomal RNA, 604 nt
Filed under: Kocuria sp. ZAL-03
Lineage: Bacteria; Bacillati; Actinomycetota; Actinomycetes; Micrococcales; Micrococcaceae
Description: bacterial SSU rRNA
Rfam family: Bacterial small subunit ribosomal RNA
Source: RNAcentral